CCUGAGAAACCCAAAAGAUCGAAUGGGGAGAUUCAUCGUCAGCGAUCCCGGUGCUUGUGCGGUUCGUGAUGCCGCGGUGACCUCGCGGUCCCGCGGCACGCGUCCGCAUGGUUUCAUUGCCGGGUGUCGUCGGCGUGCACUUCUCCCCUAGUAGGACGUCGCGACCCGUUGGGUGUCGGUCUACGGCCCGGGUGGUAGCCUGUCGUGCGUCACGCGUUCUCCUCGCGGGGGGCGCGUCGUGCUUCAGACCCCCGGUUGUCCGACCGGCUGCUCGGCGGUACUCGCACGGUAUCGAGCCGCAAACAUUUGAACUGCGUCCGGCCCGCCGCAAGCGAGGUCAGUGUGAUUCCCGGAUGUACGGACCUCGCGCCGUCACCGGGCCUGGCCAGCUGUUGGCAGGCGGUGUCCUGGGACUGGCUCCUCGAAAAUUAUGAUACCGGUCAGCGACGCUACUGCUUUGGGUACUUUCAGGACCCGUCUUGAAACACGGACCAAGGAGUCUAACAUGUGCGCGAGUCAUUGGGACAUGUUAAGCCUAAAGGCGCAAUGAAAGUGAAGGUCGGCCUCGCGCCGACCGAGGGAGGAUGGGCCGCGUCACGAUGCGGUCCCGCACUCCCGGGGCGUCUCGUUCUCAUUACGAGAAGA
This 645-nucleotide ribosomal RNA is filed under the name Banchopsis sp. JM169. RNAcentral's name for it is "eukaryotic LSU rRNA". The record is from RNAcentral. Lineage: Eukaryota; Metazoa; Arthropoda; Insecta; Hymenoptera; Ichneumonidae.